Molecule: long non-coding RNA, 1176 nt
Filed under: Ananas comosus (pineapple)
Lineage: Eukaryota; Viridiplantae; Streptophyta; Magnoliopsida; Poales; Bromeliaceae
Description: long non-coding RNA (ACOM_LNC033765)
Source: RNAcentral
UUUAGUGACAUUUAAUAUAUUUAAUCUUUGUGGGGUGUUUGGUUCAGCAAAAAAAUGAAUCGAAUAAUUAUUUUCGAUAUGAAAAAUAUUUUUUCGUUUAUUUGGUUCGAUGUAAAAAUAUUUUACCAGUUUUUAUUUUUUUGCUAUUUUUUUUAUGAAAAACAAAAACUAAGUUGAGUAAAAUUUUUAGUAUUUAUUUUUCCUAUCAAACUAAACAAGUGAGAUUUUUUUUUUUUCAUUUCAACUAAAUAAAUAUUGAUAAAAAAUUAUUGUUUUCUAUAAAUCAAACACCACAAAAUGUUUAAAAAAAUUUCAUCAAUUCUUUUUAUAAAAAUUUAUUUUUUACGAUUUUACGUUGAACCAAUCGGACCCGAAUAAAAUAAAAAAUGGAAAAUACUUAUUGUACACCUCAAAAAGAGGUGUACAUCUUACGCCCACAAUUCUAGGGUUGAUAAAAUCCGAAUUGGUUUUAGUAAAAUUUAAAAAAAUUGAUGUGACAAGAAUUAUCUUAGGAUUAAGUGGGUGUAAGAUAUACACCCCACUUUGUCACUUUAGUAUCCUGUGCUUAUAAAAAAUAGGAAAAACUUCAAAUGCCCCCCAUGUGGUUUCGUACUUUGUCACUUUAGUACCCCGUGGUUUAAAGUGUAUCAAGUUAGUACCCUAUGGUUUCACACUUUCUCACUUUAGUAUCCUGUGAUUUAAAGUGUAUCAAGUUAGUACACUGUGGUUUCGCACUUUCUCACUUUAGUACCCUGUGGUUAGUACUAUGUGGUUUUAUUUUUGUAUCAAAUUAGUACUCUGUGAUUUUAUUUCUCUUUUUAUUAUCUAUUUCGGAAUAUGCUUUUUCGUUAAAUCAAUGACAAAGUUAAAACUAAAGAGUACUAUUCGAUAAACUUAGAUAGAGUAUCUGAAGUUUUUUGUAUAUUAUUUAACGAAAUAUUAAACCACAAGGUACUAAAGUGAGAAAGUGCGAAACCUUAGGAUACUAACUUGAUACACUUUAAACCACAGGAUACUAAAGUGAGAAAGUACGAAACCACAUGGUACUAACUUAAUAUAUUUUAAAUCAUAAGUUACUAAAGUGAGAAAAGUGCGAAACCAUAGAGGAAAUAUUUAAAGUUUUUUCUAAAAAAAAUAAAAGGAGUAUUAAAAAUUUAAUAAAAGAACUAAAAAAAA